GACAUCAUGAAAUGUUUGUUCUGGCAGGUGAUUCUGGCUGCAGGAUGUUCAGGAAACAUGAUCCAGAUCUUUUGAAUCUUUCUGGAGUUAGAAUCUGUUUUUCUGUUCAUCCAGUGAUUUCCUACAUUUCCCAGAACCCCACAGAAGGGUGUCAGAUUCUGCUUCCAGCUCCUGAAGAUCUUCUUCCAGUUAAAACUUUUCUUAAAGGGAACAUAUUUCAUUCAUGAAGCUCUGACUAACAGACGUGAUGAAUGUAGAACUUCAUCGACAAACAACAAACUGGUUUCUGCUGCAGAUUUAACUGGUUUCAAGUGUUUUCCAGAAGUUUGUGUUUGAAUCAUGAAACAGGAAGAAACCAGGUGGUCUGAUCAAGAAAAAUCACUCUGGAUUCUAGGAAUAUUUUAAACAGGAGGAGACUGGAGGGGUUGAAGCUGAUGGAUCUGAUGCUGUCAGCAUACCUGGAUGUUGAGAUUCACCAAGAAGAUCCUUUCACCUGAACUGCUUGCAUCAAGGCUGAAGAUACAAGAUCCUCACCAGCAAAAUGGCUUCUCUCGUCACUGCGUUCAACGCUACAGCUACAGGCAUUAAAUUAAAGGAAGGAGUCUUUUCCUGCAGCAGUAAAGUAUCUCCAGCCGUGAUGGUGACCACACGGAGCUAAUCUCUGAACCCAAAACCACCUCCCCCGCACACACAAAAACAGCUCCUGACAACCACAACAACAUAUGGUGAACGCUAAGCUGCCGUCAGGUCAUAACAGCGAAGCUUCAAACUCUGGCACGUCGCUGCCCCGACUUCCCGGCAGCCGUCACAAGGGAUUACCGAUGAGCAGCACUUCAUCGAGUCGUGACUUCGAAC
Molecule: long non-coding RNA, 855 nt
Organism: Amphiprion ocellaris (clown anemonefish)
Lineage: Eukaryota; Metazoa; Chordata; Actinopteri; Pomacentridae
Source: Ensembl